Molecule: long non-coding RNA, 2219 nt
Organism: Vicugna pacos (alpaca)
Lineage: Eukaryota; Metazoa; Chordata; Mammalia; Artiodactyla; Camelidae
Source: RefSeq, a predicted model, not a curated record
UUUUCAGUGAGAAAAGUUGAUCCUUCUUUUCUGUAAGGAUAAAGUACUUAGUGUAUCAUAGUCUCAUAAUGUUAAAACAGCACAUUUAAAAUGCACUAGAGAUAAAAUAUCCCUAAAUGAUUGUUCUACCACAGGGAAUGACUGUGAUACAAACUGCUUAAGGUGUUUAAGAAAACCAUGGGGCCAGAUUCUGCCAAAAUGUACUCCACACUUACACCAUAGCGUUUCAUCUUUUAAUUAUUUUUAGAAAAAUAAAACAAAACAAAUGAAUUUAAAAGUUACUUACCUUCCUUAGAUUAGCAAGAAUUAAAGUUGCUAGCCUAGCAAACGCUUUGCUUGGUGAGGAGUCGGGCUUCUGGUUAAAGACCUAUGUGUGGUUUUUCAGAUCUAACCUUGGGCAGUUGCAGAAGCUUUACCUAGUUGGCCUCAGAGGGGACAACUGCCCUCGCCACACCAGACUGGCUGCACAGCUAGUGCACUGCAGGCUCUCAGGGGAGCUGUGGUCAAGGACUCUGACCCCUCCAGCCCAUCAUAUUCUUCACACAUUUGUGUUCCUGGCCGAGGUGCCUUCAUUCCCAGGUCUCUUCACCUGAGCCCUUCAGCAGAGGUUGUCUUCAGGCUGCUCUGCCAAGGCCUCUUUAUGGGGGUUGGGUGAGAGAAGGGGAAACCUUGCAAACACUUUUCCCCACUCUGACUCAGUAUCCAGUCUUCUUCCCUAGCCCUCGCUAUCUUCCUCUGGUUCCAGGUCCAUAAAACUGCAAGGGCUUUGUGUCAGGGAUGCCCUUGUCAGUGAGAUGACCGCCACAACUGAGCGGACCCAUCUGACCAUCGGUGUACCCUUCCAUGGAGAAAUGGAAUGGGGGAAUCAGUGCUUUAACUUGCUUGUACCAUCACAGAUUUUCAGGACGCAUGUCUAAGACCUUGGUCAGCAUUUCAGAAAGAUGAUCAUACCUACCCAAAGAAAGAAAAUUCCAGGUAAUACCCCUAUCAAAAGCAUUUGAAAAGACAAUUCAUGCAUACUCAGUUGGUUUUAAGGAAACUUCAACAGCUCGAAGCUUUUGGAGAUUUUCCAUGGAAAACCACUUAACAGUAACUUCUAUCACUGCCAAGAACUUAUCCUAAAAUUUUCCUUAGAAAUUGCCUUAAGUAUGAUAUGAAUAUUUAACUUAUUAAAGAAAACAUAUUCCGGCAAGAUGUAUGUUGUACAUCAGUACAUUUUCUCAUUUUGUUUCAGAUUGAAAUCUCUUGGUAAUAUAUUUAAAGUGACUGUAUAUUUAAAGUGACUAACCUUAUUUUUCAUUCUUUUAUCUUAACUUCUUUUCCUUCCCCCUUCCCCUUUCCUCACGAAAUCCAAUUUGAUUUCUAAAUCCAGUUGACUCUCUUAAGAUCUGUUCUAUUCUUUCCCAUUUCCUAAGCUAAUUAUGUACAAGCGUUUUUAGACCUAUAAGAAAUGGAUUUCAUAUUGCAACCCCCACUCACACAACUGAAAGAAGUGUCAUCAGAUGUUGCUCACCUGUAUUAAAAUGUGAUACAUCUAAUAUUUUUUGUUUUAUUCUAUUAAAAACUCUGCCCUAGCUUUUUAUUUCAUAACUGAAUUAAUGAAACUGCCUCUGACCUCUCUGUUGAUUAAUUAAUUAACCUCUAACCACUAACCCCUUAUUAAUUCAUUACAUUUUAUACAUAAUUGCUAGGAUGUGCUUUUUUAAAUACCAGAUUUACAAUGUGAAUUUACUAUUUAAGAGCCCAAAAUGCCUGUCAGGCCAAAAAGAAACUCCUCUGUCCAGUGUGGAAACUUGCAUAAAUUGCCUCUCUGGCAGAUAAACAUUGUUUCUCUUCAACUUCAUUUCCAACAAUUAGAACUUCUGCCCCAGUGAAGUAAAUCUACUAAAUACCACUUUCAUCUAGUUGCUAAGUCUGACCUGAGAGACUUUGCUUACUGUGUCCCAUAUAUAUUAUUUCUCUCAGGAAAUAAUUUAAAUCCCACCUCACCACUCAGGUCAUUCCUGAAACCAUCCUUCCUCAGUAUAGAGAGGGCGUUUCCGAGAUCACUGAUAUACUGCUAUGUUACUGUGUACGUUACAUAUUUCCCAUUCAGCAACAGCAGUAGGUUCUUCCAGGGCUGAAAUUAGGUUUUUGUUUGUUUGUUAUUGUUUUAAUGUAUCUCCCCCCUUAUUAUAGUUAGCAAAAUGGUUGUUCAAUAAAUGCCUACUUUCUGUUAA